This 1132-nucleotide long non-coding RNA is filed under the name Sorghum bicolor (sorghum). RNAcentral's name for it is "long non-coding RNA (SBIC_LNC014882)". Lineage: Eukaryota; Viridiplantae; Streptophyta; Magnoliopsida; Poales; Poaceae. The record is from RNAcentral.
AUGCCCUUGGAGGAGGGCAGCUUAGUUGCCCUCCUCGGUUAUUCGAGGCAGGGAAGCUAGCCAGCAACCACCUCGGUAAAUCAUUAACCGAGGCUGGCAACUUAACAGGCCCGCCUCGGUUAAUAUAUAUUAACAGAGGCGGGCAUUCUAACUCAAUCGCCUUGGUAAAUCAUUAACUGAGGUAGGCAAUCUAAAUCAUUUGCCUCGGUAAAUCUGGCCCAACCUGCUAGCCCACACGAACCCACUACCAUCUCCCAUAUAUAAACACAGGGGUUAGGGUUUCACUCUCCAGCCACUCCUCCCUCUCAGCGCUCUUCCCCGCCCCCACCCCCUAUGCAUGAUCUCCCAGCAGGUUGCCAUCUCUGUUCCCUUCGUCUUCUCUAACAGAUGCAUCGCUAUCUUUAGCAUAGUGUUUGCACCCUCCAACUAGAGCUUCCUUAUCGACAUCCAUGAACAAGCCUGCCCAAUAUCCCAAAUGUGAAGAUGCAUACGCUUGAGCUUAUUAGCCGAAUCUGCCAGCCAUUCAGCAGUGUUUUUCUCUCACAACAAAUUAGACAACAGUACUUUCUGCCAUGGCUUAUUAGCCAAAUGAACAAAAUCAGCCAACAAUACUAUUAGGCACUUUCCAUAUAGCAUGAAUUUUUUUUUACCAUAAGGUAUCCACUUCUCAGCCCACACCUGUCAUUGAUCAAAGUUUCUGGGAACAUUGUUGGCCCCAAAGCACUGAGCAACUAUACCCCAAACAGCUUUCGCCACUGUGUUUGCCAGGUUGGCAUCCUCCACUUGCGUGCUGACAAUCAGUACUGGAAUGCCCUAACGCCAUUGUGCCAUGUCUCACUACAAAUCCAUCAAGGCUGGCUGGUGUGGUGAAAGCUGCAAGCUCAAACUGUAUAUACAUGCAGUCAUUGUGCAAUAUUUGUUUCCUUUCAAUUCCCUAUGCCUCCACGUAGUUCUAUUUCUAUAGCCAUAACUUACUUCUCACAGAAAUGCUAGCAUGGUUCCUGAAUUAAGGACCAAAAGCUUUCACUGUUGUUCAAUGUUAUCACUCAAUGGAAGCCUCAGACACCUUUCAGAGUCGACGUUGGAUUUAUAGCCAACCUUUUGGAUAUUGGCUGAGUCCCAAUUUAUAGCC